ACCAAGGUACUAGAAGCUUAGUUUGAAAUAGUUUCUCUGUGGCUGGUAAGUGAUCUGUUUGUUAGACUAAUGAUUGAAGCUAGAAUUUUAGAAUGAGAAGGUUUAUCAUUCUUCGAUCAGCCGUUGCUUUUUAAAUAAGCUAAAAAGUAAGAAAAUAAAUGAAAAUGCACGUAGUUACUGAACUCAGCUAAAGCUCAUUUUAGAUUAGUUCAUUAGUAAGGUUUACAAAAGAUUUCUGAAAGUUGUUAUGGACUCUAUCAAAGCAUAAACGACCUAUUCCUCAAAUUGAAUUGACUUGUCUGCACUGCAAUGGGGAAUUCUAGCAGAACUACUCUGUGUACCUCAUUUUUGUCUUUAUGGGCAUAGAUUUUUUUAAUGUGCCGAAAAAAGCCACCUUAUGUUAUAUCCUUCACAACACAGAGAGAUGAAAUUCCAUGAAAAGGUGAUUUGUGAACAGUCAACACCCCAAUUGUAAGAAUUGUUGAGAAUUUGUAUUAAACAAAUUUGCCCUAAGUUCAUUGUGGCUUUAACUGACCUAAUUUGGUUAGUGUUGAGGUUCAGGGUUGAUGAUCCUCAGCAUCUUUACCCUGGUAUCCAACUCUAUCACAAAUAUCUGUUCACAAUUGAAGUUCGAGGAGAAUAAAGUGUUGGGUUUAAAAAAAAAAUGAGACCAUUCUUCCCUGGUGUGAUUUCAUUAUGUCAAGUCUGCUGUUUAAAUACAUUAGAGGUUAGCCAAAAGAGAUGAAAUGGUACUUUCCAUAUGAUUCCACUUAGUUGUGGUAUCCUUUGGAUGGAUAGAAGUUAGCAAACCUUGCAUGAUCUUGGACAUAACCCAUACAUACCUAACUGCUUCAGAAGUAUCAAACUGAUGUGAAAAUUAAAAUUUGGGGAAAUGGUCUCCUUUGUCAACAAAAUUUAUACUUCCACCACUCAUAUCUUCACACUUGUGAGAUAUCUUUAUUUUGAUAUUGGAUACACAUUGGUUCCUUAUUUUCUGCUUUGGUUGUGCCCAAGUUUGGGCAUAUGCUUCUACAUUUAACACAGCUACUCACCUAGUUUCGCCUCCAUUUAGGAGCUGUUAUGCUAUCAAGUCAAAGCCUUUGAAAACCAAUUGCUUGACUUUGCUCUGAUCAUUCCCAAUCCAAGCGUGAAGUGAACAAGUAGGAACACUCUCAGUCACUUACUGUGUAUAGUUUUUUGAGCUGGAUCAGUGCAAUACAAGAAAUACCCAGUUUCUGAUGUGAUUCUAUUUCCAGGAAAUUCUGUUGAAUUUUGAAAUAUUUUCAGUGGUUUAAUGUGCUCGACUUAGUCUUGCAUUCCAUUACUUCCACAUUUGAAAAUGUUUAUUUGUGCUUCUAUACUGCUUUUGCUAUAAGAUUGGGCAUGCAUUUUUAAAUAUGUCUAUUACAUGUUAAGUGAACAGUGCUAUAUUUAAUUUCAGUCAAUAAUACAUACAUACAUGCUUUAACAGGCUAGGUUUGAUGGUAAUGGGAAGCCUUAUUUUGGCAUCCUUUAUGACAUAUGCUGCAGAGCACCUCUCAGUAAGAACAUUUAUGAGGGGCUAUGAAGACAGGGAUGCACAAAGAACCAGGAACAUAUGUUCUUUCUGUUAGUAGUAGCCUACUUUUCAUGUUAUUAGCUAACCGUUAUCAGCAGCUAUUCUUGUUUUGUCUGUAAUUUGUUUUAAACAUAUUCUUCCCUAUAUUUAAUUGUAGAAUAUUGUGGAAAUUUUUUCCAUUCUAGAGCUGUUCCUUUUGAGUAGGCUGGUCCUAAUUUUCAUGGGAUAACAAUCUUUAUUCUACUGUCAGUUGUAAUUUAAGCUUGUUACAAGCAACUGGAUAGAUUUCACCUUGAAACUGACAUCCAAGGGAGGAUGCUUAAUGUGUUUAUAAGUCAACACAUCAAGCAUCCAGUCUGUACCUUCGGAAUCGACGUCUAUGGCAGCCCAUUUCUCAAUUAGAUGACUCAGCCGAGGCAGUCUUCUACUUUUGUAGUCAUCUCCAGGUGCACCAUCUCAAAUGAGGGUUCAUCCAAGAAAGGGUGCCUGCUAUAAUCACAGGCACUUGGGUAGAAAUCACUCUAAAAAUUGGCUCGUAAGUGAAGAUUACCCGAUAUGCUUAUAAGUUCAUAAGGCUGCCUUGGAGCCUUUCUCCAGCUGAUUGGAACUUGAAGUAGCUUUUAUUUGGUGAUUUUCUGUUUUACAAUUUUUUAAUCAAAAAAUUGUUCUAGCUUUAAGAAUGUUGUAUGCAAUGCUAAAUUAUUAAUGUAUCAAGUGAAAAUACUCCUGUCUCCUGCCAUUCUAGUUGCUAGAAAUUAUACUAUGGUUGGUUAAUUUUCUAUAAUGUGUGUAAACUUUUCUUCCUUCUACUGGGAAUUUUGUACUUCAAUAGAGAGAACUAUUAAGCCAAUUCGGUUCUCAUUAAAAUUGGGUCGAAUCGCACUAUACUUACCCCUAAAUAUAUCGUUAGUUGAUGUAACUCUGGAU
RNAcentral lists this long non-coding RNA (2485 nucleotides) under Olea europaea subsp. europaea. The record is from RNAcentral. Lineage: Eukaryota; Viridiplantae; Streptophyta; Magnoliopsida; Lamiales; Oleaceae.